Molecule: non-coding RNA, 1522 nt
Organism: Chiloscyllium plagiosum (whitespotted bambooshark)
Lineage: Eukaryota; Metazoa; Chordata; Chondrichthyes; Orectolobiformes; Hemiscylliidae
Source: RefSeq, a predicted model, not a curated record
UUACCAAUCUAAAGAACACUUUAGGUGAUUUAACAUUGAAUGUUGCCAUACUCAUUGUUGGCAGCUGAUUGGAUAUUGAGGUGAUCAACUAAGGGAGGAUUGAUGCCAACCAGCCAGCUGUAGAAAUGGUUGAUAAAAAGAAAAGGAUGAAGAAAACCAGUUCUGACAGGUUUUGGCUGGUGCAGAGUGGUUUUGCAAGCUUCAGGACUGGCUACUCUGUGUAGCACUCUUUUUAUUUUUAUAUCCAGUUGUUGAAUUGUUGUAACAAAAAGAAUCCCAAUCUCUAAUUCCUCCUCCUCCACUUCUGCAUAGCAGAAGAUUUUUUAAAAUCGCUUACGCGGACUGCUGAGGAUGUUCUCCCACAAUCGCCUGCCACAACUUUUGUCAAAAUAAAUGAGAAGAGAAUGAAACUUCCAGUUGAUUGCUGAGAGAAUGACACAACAAUUCAUGUUUUAAGACUCUUGCUGUAACAAACGGGUCAAAAGCACUGUUCACAAAACAAAUUUGUUGUAGGUAACCUAUAUUUUAAACUGCGGAACUGAGCUUUUCCUUUUAUUUUUAACUCAUCUGUGAAAUGGAUUUAUCAGUUAUACUUCAUACUGGCCUUUAACUAGUUUGUAACUUUUCCAUGUAUCCAGUUUAAAGUGAUUCUUAGCUCCUUAGAGAGUACUUCCAUUGUUUUGCAUUUCCACCCUUAUUGCUUUUAACCUUAAAACUGUCUUUCAAGAUGAGGGCUGCCAUUGUCUGUAAAUGUAAAUAAUCAACAUCGUCUUUCCAACAUAUAUUCUUACCUCCUUUUAACCUUUUUAACAGUUACAAUACCUACUUCAUUAGUUAGAUAAAUGCCUCAUAUAAUCUUUAAAAUUUUUGUCUUAAACUGUAAGCACAGCCAUCUUGUAAUCCUCGUAUUUGUAACAUAAUAUUAUGCAGAUCGUCCUGUCAACAAUAGAAGGGGAAGCAACCAUGGUUAUAAAUAUCCAUUCAUCCUUUGAGUUUCUUGAACUGUAACUUCUCUCCUUGGCUGUAAUAUGGCUUCAAUUGGUCUCAGAUGUUUUUAUUUAAAGCUUAACAGUGAUUACAAAUACUUGUGAACACUUAAGAGCUUUGCAAUGCUUUCUGGGACUUUGUGGUGCAGUGGUAGUAUCCCUACCUCUGAUUAAGAAGUCUAGGUUCAAGUCUCACCUGGUCCAGAGGUGUGCAGUAAAACAGGCAUAACAGUGAGUGAGGAAUGUGUGACGGAGGGAGUGUGACAGCGAGGGAGUGAACAGAUUGAUUAGUUUUAUUAAUUAAUCUAUAUUUCUAAACUGCAGUGCUUUCUUUGUGAGGACUUUUAUGGUGCCAUGGCAAUAUCCUUACCUCUGAGCGAGGAGACCUGAGUUCAAGUCCCAUCUGCUCCAGAAAUGAGUUAUAUGUCUGAGCAGUUUGAUUAAAAAUAUCUUGAAGUGCUCUCAAAGCUGCCUUUCUAACCACCGCUCUGUACCUCCCACUGCUGAACAUUCAUUGUUAUUCACCAUCCUCCUUG